GAUGAACGCUGGCGGCGUGCCUAACACAUGCAAGUCGAACGAAGCACCUUUUGAGAUUCUUCGGAUGAUCGCUCGGUGACUGAGUGGCGGACGGGUGAGUAACGCGUGGGUAACCUGCCCUGUACAGGGGGAUAACAGCUGGAAACGGCUGCUAAUACCGCAUAAGCGCACGAGGAGACAUCUCCUAGUGUGAAAAACUCCGGUGGUACAGGAUGGGCCCGCGUCUGAUUAGCUGGUUGGCAGGGUAACGGCCUACCAAGGCAACGAUCAGUAGCCGGUCUGAGAGGAUGAACGGCCACAUUGGAACUGAGACACGGUCCAAACUCCUACGGGAGGCAGCAGUGGGGAAUAUUGCACAAUGGGGGAAACCCUGAUGCAGCAACGCCGCGUGAGUGAAGAAGUAUUUCGGUAUGUAAAGCUCUAUCAGCAGGGAAGAUAAUGACGGUACCUGACUAAGAAGCUCCGGCUAAAUACGUGCCAGCAGCCGCGGUAAUACGUAUGGAGCAAGCGUUAUCCGGAUUUACUGGGUGUAAAGGGUGCGUAGGUGGCAGUGCAAGUCAGAUGUGAAAGGCCGGGGCUCAACCCCGGAGCUGCAUUUGAAACUGCUCGGCUAGAGUACAGGAGAGGCAGGCGGAAUUCCUAGUGUAGCGGUGAAAUGCGUAGAUAUUAGGAGGAACACCAGUGGCGAAGG
Molecule: ribosomal RNA, 691 nt
Filed under: uncultured Lachnospiraceae bacterium
Lineage: Bacteria; Bacillati; Bacillota; Clostridia; Lachnospirales; Lachnospiraceae
Description: bacterial SSU rRNA
Rfam family: Bacterial small subunit ribosomal RNA
Source: RNAcentral